Molecule: non-coding RNA, 905 nt
Organism: Salvelinus sp. IW2-2015
Lineage: Eukaryota; Metazoa; Chordata; Actinopteri; Salmoniformes; Salmonidae
Source: RefSeq, a predicted model, not a curated record
UAAGCAUUAAAAUUAUUAAUGAAAAGAAAUAAGUUUCAGUUCUUAGGAGUGGUAAUUUACUGUAGAUAAGGUAUCCACACUGUAAAACAUAUAUUAAAUUAUUUAUGAGACUGAGUUUAAGGUUAACCAAUGUUAUUGUUAAAUAAAAUACAGUGGACUCCUGGGGGAGAGAGCUUAUUAGUAAAGAACGGGUUUGAUAUGGUUAGCAGUUGUUUUUGCUUUAUUUGACCAUUAGAAGAUUUUUUAUUUAAAUAGUAUUAAAGUUGACAGGGAUAUAUGACAUAUGUGAUGAUUUAGGAUUAUUGAUAGGAUGGAGAUAGGUUGAUUAAGGUUAUGUAAGGACUUUAGAGAUUGACGCUAUAGACAUAUUUUUUCAAAAAAUCCAUGAUUUUAGAUAAAGCCAAAACAGUGAGACACUUAGUUAAUAUUUGGAAGGAACACAUAGUUUUUACUGACUAUCAUGAAAAAAGGCAGACAGAGGGGUCUACCCCGCACUGUUGAGACCUUGAAGGUUUGAGAGCAGAGAGGAGAGGGGGGACCAGGAAAGGAGCAAGGUAGGCUGUGAAAUAAGAUAGGAGAGAAAAGGGUUACUGUUUAAAUCAAUAAAUAUAUAUAUAUUUAAGAACAUAUAUAAGCAGCACAGAUACCUCUUAAAGUAGAUAAGUCACUUGACAGAGAAUUGGAAAAGGAUAGAUAUGAAUGGACGCCCAAGGGAGAAUUGAACAUGCGGAGAAUAAAAGGGGCGCUCCUACAUGAUAAGGUCAGACAUAAGGAUAAUUUACUAAUUUUACCUAAGUCAUUGGUUAGGUUAGGCAAUGUUGUUACCUGGCAGAGCCAAGUAUCAAAGGGGGGAUGGGUAAGUUGUGGUCUAGGAUAGGAUGUGGCCUAUUGGAUGAUAAACUAAU